CAGCCGCCGCGGUAAUACGUAGGUGGCAAGCGUUGUCCGGAAUUAUUGGGCGUAAAGGGCUCGCGGGCGGUUUCUUAAGUCUGAUGUGAAAGCCCCCGGCUCAACCGGGGAGGGUCAUUGGAAACUGGGAAACUUGAGUGCAGAAGAGGAGAGUGGAAUUCCACGUGUAGCGGUGAAAUGCGUAGAGAUGUGGAGGAACACCAGUGGCGAAGGCGACUCUCUGGUCUGUAACUGACGCUGAGGAGCGAAAGCGUGGGGAGCGAACAGGAUUAGAUACCCCGGUAGUCCCUGUCUCUUAUAC
Molecule: ribosomal RNA, 301 nt
Filed under: uncultured bacterium
Lineage: Bacteria
Description: partial 16S ribosomal RNA
Rfam family: Bacterial small subunit ribosomal RNA
Source: RNAcentral